CGGACGGGUGAGUAACGCGUGGGUAACCUGCCUCAUACAGGGGGAUAACAGUUAGAAAUGACUGCUAAUACCGCAUAAGCGCACAGAAUCGCAUGAUUCGGUGUGAAAAACUCCGGUGGUAUGAGAUGGACCCGCGUCUGAUUAGCUAGUUGGUGGGGUAAAGGCCUACCAAGGCGACGAUCAGUAGCCGGCCUGAGAGGGCGACCGGCCACAUUGGGACUGAGACACGGCCCAAACUCCUACGGAAGGCAGCAG
Molecule: ribosomal RNA, 255 nt
Filed under: uncultured bacterium
Lineage: Bacteria
Description: partial 16S ribosomal RNA
Rfam family: Bacterial small subunit ribosomal RNA
Source: RNAcentral